Molecule: microRNA precursor, 98 nt
Filed under: Canis lupus dingo (dingo)
Lineage: Eukaryota; Metazoa; Chordata; Mammalia; Carnivora; Canidae
Description: mir-8834 microRNA precursor family
Rfam family: mir-8834 microRNA precursor family
Source: Rfam by way of RNAcentral
AGGAGGAACAACCGCAGUGGCGGGGCCAGCUCUGCAGCCCUGGAGUCAGUUCCCGCAGUCAGCUCUCCGUCUGCAGGGCCUGGAGGCUCCGGGGCGGG